Molecule: ribosomal RNA, 414 nt
Filed under: uncultured bacterium
Lineage: Bacteria
Description: bacterial SSU rRNA
Rfam family: Bacterial small subunit ribosomal RNA
Source: RNAcentral
AACGAACGCUGGCGGCGUGCCUAACACAUGCAAGUCGUGCGAGAAAGUUCCUUCGGGAGCGAGUAAAGCGGCGCACGGGCGAGUAACACGUAGGUAACCUGCCCCCCAGUCUGGAACAACUAGAGGAAACUCUAGCUAAUGCCGGAUGAGACCACGAUCCCUUCGGGGGUUGCGGCCAAAGAUGGCCUCUACUUGUAAGCUAUCGCUGAGGGAUGGGCCUGCGGGCCAUUAGCUUGUUGGUGAGGUAACGGGCUCACCAAGGCUGUGAUGGCUAGCUGGUCUGAGAGGAUGACCAGCCACACUGGGACUGAGACACGGCCCAGACUCCUACGGGAGGCAGCAGUGGGGAAUAUUGCGCAAUGGGCGAAAGCCUGACGCAGCGACGCCGCGUGGUGAUGAAGGCUCGGUCGUAAG